Molecule: ribosomal RNA, 764 nt
Filed under: uncultured Streptococcus sp.
Lineage: Bacteria; Bacillati; Bacillota; Bacilli; Lactobacillales; Streptococcaceae
Description: bacterial SSU rRNA
Rfam family: Bacterial small subunit ribosomal RNA
Source: RNAcentral
GACGAACGCUGGCGGCGUGCCUAAUACAUGCAAGUAGAACGCUGAAGGAGGAGCUUGCUUCUCUGGAUGAGUUGCGAACGGGUGAGUAACGCGUAGGUAACCUGCCUGGUAGCGGGGGAUAACUAUUGGAAACGAUAGCUAAUACCGCAUAAGAGUAGAUGUUGCAUGACAUUUGCCUAAAAGGUGCAAUUGCAUCACUACCAGAUGGACCUGCGUUGUAUUAGCUAGUUGGUGAGGUAACGGCUCACCAAGGCGACGAUACAUAGCCGACCUGAGAGGGUGAUCGGCCACACUGGGACUGAGACACGGCCCAGACUCCUACGGGAGGCAGCAGUAGGGAAUCUUCGGCAAUGGACGGAAGUCUGACCGAGCAACGCCGCGUGAGUGAAGAAGGUUUUCGGAUCGUAAAGCUCUGUUGUAAGAGAAGAACGAGUGUGAGAGUGGAAAGUUCACACUGUGACGGUAUCUUACCAGAAAGGGACGGCUAACUACGUGCCAGCAGCCGCGGUAAUACGUAGGUCCCGAGCGUUGUCCGGAUUUAUUGGGGCGUAAAGCGAGCGCAGGCGGUUAGAUAAGUCUGAAGUUAAAGGCUGUGGCUUAACCAUAGUACGCUUUGGAAACUGUUUAACUUGAGUGCAAGAGGGGAGAGUGGAAUUCCAUGUGUAGCGGUGAAAUGCGUAGAUAUAUGGAGGAACACCGGUGGCGAAAGCGGCUCUCUGGCUUGUAACUGACGCUGAGGCUCGAAAGCGUGGGGAGCAAACAGG